CCCAGGAGCCACAAGUGGCAACCACCUUUAUUGGGCCUAAAGCGUCCGUAGCCGGUUUUGUAAAUUUUCUGUGAAAUCGUUGCGCUUAACGUAACGGCAAGCAGAAAGCACUGCAAAACUAGAGACCGGGAGGAGUUAAAAAUAUUUCUGAAAAAGCAAUAAAAUGCUAUAAUCCCAGAAGGACCACCUGUGGCGAAGGCGCCUAACUAGAACGGAUUCGACGGUGAGGGACGAAAGCUAGGGGAGCAAUCCGG
Molecule: ribosomal RNA, 254 nt
Filed under: uncultured bacterium
Lineage: Bacteria
Description: partial 16S ribosomal RNA
Rfam family: Archaeal small subunit ribosomal RNA
Source: RNAcentral